GGAUUUGGACGAGACGUGUACGCUCGAAGACGUCAGAAAGUCGGAAUGGUAUUGCAAAGCGAAUAAGGGAUGAAUCGAGUAAGCGAAGCGAAGUGGCGAAUAGAGUAUAGCUAGAGAUGGUCUAGAGAUUACGAGAUGCAUAGAUUGUGAAAGUUGAAAGAUGAGGUUGAGCUGUGAAACUGGAGUCAGAUUUAAGGCAAGUAUCCUAAACCUUUCUCUUGGAUAUAUUGCAAAUAUUCUGAUCCAUUCCUUUGGUAUAUGUUUCAAGUAUUCAUACCUUUCUUUUCAAUGUUCUUCUGACCCAUUCUUUCUAAUCUUCAAGUUUCUAAAGAAUUUCCGUUUUACAAAUUAAUUCGAAGUUCAGAUUGUCAUUGAAGCAUGUGUUGCUCAGUGGUAGUUAGAGCUUUGAAUGAAUUGGGAUCUUCUUGAUUAUUCAACCCGCCAUUGUCAUGCUGGUUUAGCAGGCUAAAUUCAGUAAACUUAGCCGAUAAUGGAGGAUACUGAAUAGUUAGGGAUUUCCUGCGAUAAUGGAGGAUACUGAAUAGUUGAGGAUUUCCUGAACUGUGAUUUAUGAAAUGAUGGAUCAUGAUUUAUGAAUAGAUUAUUAUCAAAGUUUGAAUUGGAAUUAUUCUGUUGUUGAUAAUAUUUAUGAUGAUGUUCUGUUAAUUUACAUUGGCUUCUUGAAUUGAAUUAGAGAAUUGGAUUAUUGUUUUUAUAUACUCAUUGAUAUUGAUUGGGUUUAUGUUCUGUUGACCUGUUAUCGAAUUAGAGAAUUGGAUUAUUGUUUUUAUAUAAAUCUGUGGACCAGAUGAGUGGUCAUGUUAGGCCAAUGAGUGCCUUGGAUCCAGUGAUAGAGCAUGGCGGGGCCUGCUCGGGGUUAGUGCGGAACUGAUCAGCUGCCUAACCUUGGUUUUAAUUAAAAUGUGAUAGUCCAAUUCAAUAAUUCUUUGGAAAGAUUGAAUUUCUCAGUUUAAAUGCUGCAAGGUAUUGUAAAUCAUUCUAUACAAUACCAUGAACUCAUGAACUCAGGUUGAAUCCUCUUAUAUCUUGAACUCGUGAACUUCUGUUAUAUCAUUUCAGAACUAUCAUUGUUUAUUAUUACUUGCUGAGCAUUGUUGCUCACCCUUGCUAUUCCUUUCUAACCAUUUCAGAAAGGCUUAAAGAUGAGAUGAUUGAUUGAGAUUGUGAGUAAGGCUAAUGCUAGGCGAGGAGACAGAGUUGAGGAUCCAGUGGUCGAGGAGUGUUCAGGAAAGUUGAUGAGGUUGGUGCAAGCUAGAGCUGUGCUAUAGAGAUUCAAGUGUAAGUCAUAGCUGGAAUAGUUGACAGUGAUUCUUCUUAUCGAAGAUGAUCUGAUUUGGUAAGAGAUGUUGUGUAAUAAUAGUGGUAGAUUCUAAUUUCAAUACUGUAACCUGGAUGCGAUCCUGUUGCUUUUAGGGGGUUUAAAUGUUCUCUUUCGAAUCAUUUAUUAAAGUUUAAAUGUUCUCUUGAAAUUCUCCUAUUAUGGCUUUCAAGUUUGAAAUUCAGGUUUUGAAAUCAUUCGAUUUAUGUUCUCAUUCAAAUCUUUUAUUAAAUGUUUUCAGGUUUUAAAUUCUCUGAUUUUAUUAUCUUUAAAUAAAAAAAUAAAAAAAAAAUUUACAGGUUUUCGAAAGUGUUUUAAAAAGGUUUUUAUUUGCAAAUAAGGAUAAUGCUAGGCGAGGAGACAGAGUUGAGGAUCCAGUGGUCGAGGAGUGUUCAGGAAAGUUGAUGAGGUUGGUGCAAGCUAGAGCUGUGCUAUAGGGAUUCAAGUGUAAGUCAUAGCUGGAAUAGUUGACAGUGAUUCUGCUCACCCUUGCUAUUCCUUUCUAACCAUUUCAGAAAGGCUUAAAGAUGAGAUGAUUGAUUGAGAUUGUGAAUAAGGCUAAUGCUAGGCGAGGAGACAGAGUUGAGGAUCCAGUGGUCGAGGAGUGUUCAGGAAAGUUGAUGAGGUUGGUGCAAGCUAGAGUUGUGCUAUAGGGAUUCAAGUGUAAGUCAUAGCUGGAAUAGUUAACAGUGAUUCUUCUUAUCGAAGAUGAUCUGACUUGGUAAGAAAUGUUGUGUAAUAUUAGUGGUGGAUUCUAAUUUCAAUACUGUAACCUGGAUGCGAUCCUGUUGUUUUAGGGGGUUGAAAUGUGCUCUUUCAAAUAUUUUAUGAUGGCUUUUAUAGGGGACACAAGGUAUACCUGUCUGUGUGAUAGGAGUUGGAUGGGACGCCAUCACUUGUGUGUGUUGUGAUUACAAGAAGGUUAACAACCUUUAGUAGUGUCUAAUAUGGACACGCAACAUUAAGUUCAUUUGAUCGUAUGGAUCUCCCAGUCACUCUUGUAUUCCAAUGUGGCGUAUUUUGAAAAUAUCUUGUUCCUCCGAAAUUUCCAAAAGAUUGAUUCUUGGGAAAUGAAGUUUGCAAUUGUAAAAGUUUUGAUUCUCCUAUUUCUUUAACUGUAAAGGUAUGCCAAGGUUGAUUAAGGGCGGAUGAGCAUGUGAUAUUAUGAAGUGUGUACAAUGAUUUUACAAAUGAUACGUUUUAGUUUUUUCGCGGAUUCCGAGGGCGGAAUCCUUAUAAGGGGGGAAGAAUGUAAUAUCCCAUAUUAUUAAAUUUAGAUUUGAUUAUUAUAAAUCUAUUUGUCUAAAUAUAAUUGUUGGCUUUAAUGGAAUAGUGAUCUGAUUAUGUGAAUAGUGUGUAUGUGAUUAUAUUUGUUAUGUGGAUCAAUAUGGAUUAUACUAAUUAUGCGUUCUCCUUCUUUCUCUGAUUCCGAGGACGGAAUCCCUAUAAGGAGGGUAAAUUGUAAUGACCCGGAUUUUUAAAAAUAUUUUUAUUAGUAUUAAAAGUGAUUUUCUUCAAAGAAGGGAAUAAGAUUUAAUAUUUUAUUCCAGUUUAAGGAGUUUUCAAAAUUUUAUAUUAAACCCCGGGUUAUUGUGUUAGUGAUAAAUGAUUAUAUUUUUAAAACUGAUUUUCAUAUAUUGUUUCGAAAAUUCUGUAUGAAUAUUAUGUGAAUAUAUGUGUGAUGUGAGUAAGUGGUAUUGGUCGAUUUGUUGGUUAAUUAAUUAUGGUUAAUUAUUAAUAUUAUAUGAUUAAUAUAUGAAUUUUUGUGAAUUUUGUAUUAUCUAGUUUACAGAGCUGAAUGCUCAUAUGUGUUCGUAUUUGAGAGAUUUCAAUUUCUAUAUGUUCAGGAGAAAAUAUAGUUUAGUUGGAUAUUUUCAUAUCGAUUUAUGGAAUGUUAGAUGAUUUUAUAAUCGAUUUACGGAUUUAAUUGCGUAUAUUUAUAUUUAUUUAUUAAUUAUUUGACUUCCGUAAAACCGUCCACUCGUAACGAUGUAGCAAAUUUUCUUCCCGAAAGUUUCAACAAAACUGACCUUUAGCCUAAUUUGAAUAUUCCGGACACUUUUCGUGUUUUGACUUUUUCGAUCCGGAGUACGGUUUUCCCCGGAGUCGGUCCGGCGGAGUUUUUCGGGUAUUUUAAUUGUUGAUAAUUAUCCAGUUUGUCUCGAUAAACGUGAAACGAGAUAUUUUGAUUAUUAUACUCAUCCUUAUCUUGUAAUAAUUGCAAUGGGACCCGCAGACCAAUAAUUGAGUUAAAAAGCCCCGUUUUGAUGAUUAUCUUGAAAACCAGUACCGAUUGGACCCCGCUUUAUUAAUAUAAAGCUAUUAAAUACGUAUUUUCAUGUCAUAUACGAUCCAAAGGGGUACCAAUUAUUUGUAAAUAUAAAUAGACCUUUCUAGAGCUUAUUUUCACCCGUAAAAUCAUUUCACCAGUUUCUUUCCACGAAUACCGAGAGAAACCGAGCGGUGUUCUUCGUGUUCUUCAUAAUCAAACGAAGAUUUGAAGGUGUUAUUGGAAUCCGAUGGAGGCGUAUAAAUAGUCAAAACGAAGCUCUUGACGAGUAGAAUCUAGUAUAAUCAUCCGUUUAUAUGCAGAUUGAACAGGUGAUUUUAUUUGAUUUUUAUAAAAUUCGAAUUAUUAAGAUUUAAAUAGUGGAUUUUUGCAAACGUGUUUGUUUGAUUGUUUUGAUGAUUCCAUGUUGUAGUACAUGUUUUUCUCGUCGUUUUGGUAUAUUAUAUGUUGAAUUUCGAGUUCGGAAUCAUAUAGAAAAGUCAGUUUGAUUAUUGGGUUGUGUUCUUGAGUGUUCUUGAAGGUUUGCAAUCGAUUUUGGGGGUUUUUAAUCUGUUAAAUCUGGAUGUUAUUCGAAGGCACCAACACGUUUAGUGCACUGAGUAGAGUUGAUUGGUAGCUUCAGAUUGAGUGGAGGUGGUCGGAGGAGGCCUUGCCGGAGUCCGGCAGUCGAGAAUGAAGGAUGGAAAUCCGGCCAUUUGGCCUCGUUUCUUCAAAUUUUAAGCUGUAGAAUGAGUUUGUGGUGGUGUAUUUAUGGUAUCUGGAGUUGCUGGUGAUUAACGGAGGCCGGGAACAGUAGUUCCGGCGAGUCAAGGGGGCGGCGAUGGAAAAUUUCCAUUUAGCCCCCAGACUUUUGAAGAUGGUGAAGUGUGUGUAUCAUGGUUUCAAAACUUACACAACGGCCCCUGUAACUUUGAAAAGUUACAGUUUAAACCUUGGGCCAAAACUUUCAAAAGUUUACAAAAUAAACCUUUUGAUUUAAUUUUCUAAAAUUGUUUUAUUUAAUUAUUUUAAAUUCCAAAAAUAGUUUUUAAUUAUUUCUUUAUUCAAAAAUAAAUCUAAAUUAGUUUAUUAAUUAAUUUUAAUUAGUAAUUAAUUAUUUUAAUUGGUCAAUUAAUUUAAAUAUUAAUUGAUUAAUUAUUUUAAUUAAUUAUUAAUUGAUUUUAAUUGAUUAAUUAAUUGGAUUUAAUUAAUCCUUUUUGAUUUAAAAAUUCCGAAAAAUAGUUUCGAGCUUUAAAAUAUUUUUCCAAAUUAUUUUCAAGGCUCGAUAAUUGUUUAUGAAUGAUUUCAAGUCCAAUUUCAAGUAUUUGGGACUUGAUUAUUUAUUCGAAAAGUGAUUCUUUUAUCGAUUUUAAUUCCGAAAAAUGUUUAAAAAUUCUGGAAAAUUCCCGAAAAAUCAUUUUUAACCCAAGACUUGAUUUAAUAUCAAUUGGGAUGGGAAACCUUAUGUGUUGUGUGUUGUCUGCUAUUGGUUGGAUGUGUUAUGUGCCGAUAGGAGAGUGAGAAAACUGUUUUGAGCAUAACUUUUGAUCCGUAAGUCGGAAUCAGGUGAAACGAAAGAGAGAAGGAAGCUUAUAACGUCUAUUUUAAUAUGAUGUGACUAUAUGGCUGAGUCUAUAAGGUGGAUAAUUGUUGAUAAGUAUGCAGAAUGUGAUAAUAUGUGAUCUAAGUGCUAUCAAGUGAUGAUUAUGUGAAGUACGUGUUAGUUUUGAUAUUGUGAAGUGAUAAAUGAUUCGUAUGAUUGAUAUUGGAUAAGAAUAUAUGGAUUAUAGCUAUUGGAUUUUGUUGGUUGAUUAAUGAUUGAGAUAGGAUAAUAGGUGGAUAGUCUUAUACAUAGACGAGACGAUGUCGGAUUUUCGAUAAGGAUUUAUAUGAUAAUUGAUUGGUGAUAUGUUAUGUGGAAUAUGAUUGACUAUAUGUUAGAGUCAAAGCAUGCUUAUGUGUUACGUGGUAUCUGAUAAGUUUAAAGGGGUAUAUAAGUGGGUAUCGGUAUACGUGAUAUGUAUAUGCGAUAUAUUGUUUAGUGACUAUAGUAUUAUCUUAUUCUCGUAAAGGAUUUGGACGAGACGUGUACGCUCGAAGAGGUCAGGAAGUCGAAAUGGUAUUGCAAAGCGAAUAAGGGAUGAAUCGAGUAAGCGAAGCGAUGUGGCGAAUAGAGUACGGCUAGAGAUGGUCUAGAAAUUAUAAUAUGGAUAGAUUGUGAAAGUGGAAACAUGAGAUAGAGAUGUGAGACUGGAGUCAGAUUUAAGGCAAGUAUCCUGCACCCUGCUUUUGGAUAUAUUGCAUAUUCUGAUCCAUUCUUUUUAUAUGUGUUGCAAGUAUCCUAAACCUUUCUCUUGGAUAUAUUGCAAAUAUUCUGAUCCAUUCCUUUGGUAUAUGUUUCAAGUAUUCAUACCUUUCUUUUCAAUGUUCGAAAGUGCGAGUAUUCUGACCCAUUCUUUCUAAUCUUCAAGUUUCUAAAGAAUUUCCGUUUUACAAAUUAAUUCGAAGUUCAGAUUGUCAUUGAAGCAUGUGUUGCUCAGUGAUAGUUAGAGCUUUGAAUGAAUUGGGAUCUUCUUGAUUAUUCAACCCGCCAUUGUCAUGCUGGUUUAGCAGGCUAAAUUCAGUUGCUUAGCCGAUAAUGGAGGAUACUGAAUAGUUGAGGAUUUCCUGAACUGUGAUUUAUGAAAUGAUGGAUCAUGAUUUAUGAAUAGAUUAUUAUCAAAGUUUGAAUUGGAAUUAUUCUGUUGUUGAUGAUAUUUAUGAUGAUGUUCUGUUAAUUUACAUUGGCUUCUUGAAUUGAAUUAGAGAAUUGGAUUAUUGUUUUUAUAUAAACCUGUGGACCAGAUUCGUGGUCAUGUUAGGCCAAUGAGUGCCUUGGAUCCAGUGAUAGAGCAUGGCGGGGCCUGCUCGGGGUUAGUGCGGAACUGAUCAGCUGCCUAACCUUGGUUUUAAUUAAAAUGUGAUAGUCCAAUUCAAUAAUUCUUUUGGAAAGAUUGAAUUCCUCAGUAUUCAAUUGCUGCAAGGUAUUGUGAUUUUCUUAUACAAUACCUAAACUCGGAACUCAGGUUGAAUCCUUUUAUAUCUUGAACUCGUGAACUUCUGUUAUAUCAUUUCAGAAUUUUCAUUGUUUAUUAUUACUUGCUGAGCAUUGUUGCUCACUCUUGCUAUUCUCUUUUAACCAUUUCAGAAAGGAUUAAAGAUGAAUGGCUAGACUAUGAUUGCGAGUAAGGCUAAGGCUAGGCGAGGAUUCAGAGUUGAGGAUUCAGUGGUCAAGGAGUAUUCAGGAAGAUUUAUAAAGUUGGUGCUAGCUAGAGUUGAGCUAUUGAGAUUCAGAUGUAAUUCAUAGCUGGAACAAAUUGGCAGUGAUUCUUCUUAUCGAAGAUGAUCCGAUUUG
RNAcentral lists this long non-coding RNA (7002 nucleotides) under Daucus carota (carrot). RNAcentral describes it as "long non-coding RNA (DCAR_LNC006735)". Lineage: Eukaryota; Viridiplantae; Streptophyta; Magnoliopsida; Apiales; Apiaceae. The record is from RNAcentral.